GACGGAGGGUGCAAACGUUGUUCAGAAUCACUGGGCAUAAAGCGCACGUAGGCGGCGCACUAAGUCAGGUGUGAAAGCCCCCGGCUUAACCGGGGAACGGCGCCUGAUACUGGCGUGCUCGAGGACGGUUGGGGUGAGUGGAACUCCUGGUGGAGCGGUGAAAUGCGUAGAUAUCAGGAGGAACACCGGUGGCGAAGGCGGGUCUCUGGGCAAUUCCUGACGCUGAGGCGCGAAAGCGUGGGGAGCAAACGGG
This 253-nucleotide ribosomal RNA is filed under the name uncultured bacterium. Its description in RNAcentral is "partial 16S ribosomal RNA". It matches the Rfam family "Bacterial small subunit ribosomal RNA", at positions 524 to 776 of the family's 1533-position model. The record is from RNAcentral.